CACGUCAGCGCGCUUUGCUGACGUUGACACAAAUCGUGCUCCAGAGGACGCGAUUGUUGCCAUGUCAGCAAAGCGCGCUGACGUGG
This is a non-coding RNA of Gossypium raimondii (Peruvian cotton), 86 nucleotides long. The record is from Rfam. Lineage: Eukaryota; Viridiplantae; Streptophyta; Magnoliopsida; Malvales; Malvaceae.